CAGCACCUCAAGCGGUCAGGAUGAUUAUUGGGCCUAAAGCAUCCGUAGCCGGCUCUGUAAGUUUUCGGUUAAAUCUGUACGCUCAACGUACAGGCUGCCGGGAAUACUGCAGAGCUAGGGAGUGGGAGAGGUAGACGGUACUCGGUAGGAAGGGGUAAAAUCCUUUGAUCUAUUGAUGACCACCUGUGGCGAAGGCGGUCUACCAGAACACGUCCGACGGUGAGGGAUGAAAGCUGGGGGAGCAAACCGGAUUAGAGACCCGAGUAGUCC
RNAcentral lists this ribosomal RNA (270 nucleotides) under uncultured archaeon. RNAcentral's name for it is "partial 16S ribosomal RNA". It matches the Rfam family "Archaeal small subunit ribosomal RNA", at positions 477 to 747 of the family's 1478-position model. The record is from RNAcentral.